AGUGAACGCUGGCGGUAGGCCUAACACAUGCAAGUCGAACGGCAGCACAGUAAGAGCUUGCUCUUACGGGUGGCGAGUGGCGGACGGGUGAGGAAUACAUCGGAAUCUACUUUUUCGUGGGGGAUAACGUAGGGAAACUUACGCUAAUACCGCAUGCGACCUACGGGUGAAAGCAGGGGAUCUUCGGACCUUGCGCGAUUGAAUGAGCCGAUGUCGGAUUAGCUAGUUGGCGGGGUAAAGGCCCACCAAGGCGACGAUCCGUAGCUGGUCUGAGAGGGUGAUCAGCCACACUGGAACUGAGACACGGUCCAGACUCCUACGGGAGGCAGCAGUGGGGAAUAUUGGACAAUGGGCGCAAGCCUGAUCCAGCCAUACCGCGUGGGUGAAGAAGGCCUUCGGGUUGUAAAGCCCUUUUGUUGGGAAAGAAAAGCAGCAGGUUAAUACCCCGCUGUUCUGACGGUACCCAAAGAAUAAGCACCGGCUAACCUCGUG
This 492-nucleotide ribosomal RNA is filed under the name uncultured bacterium. RNAcentral describes it as "partial 16S ribosomal RNA". It matches the Rfam family "Bacterial small subunit ribosomal RNA", at positions 29 to 507 of the family's 1533-position model. The record is from RNAcentral.